GGUUGAUCAAGAAACUUGCAAAAAUAAAGGAAGAACAGGGUCUUAUAGCAGAAGCUACUGAUUUGAUGCAAGAAAUCGUGGUAGAAACUUUUGGAGCGAUGGCAAAGACAGAGAAAAUUGCCUUUAUUUUUUAACAAGUUCAUUUGUGCUUAGAUCGCCAGGAUUAUGUCUGUUCACAUAUCCUUUCCAGGAAGAUCAGGUCCCUGAGUGUUUGAUGCAGAUCCUUCCAAAGAGAAGAAAAGACCUAAAGAAGGUGAAAACAUGGUCGAACAAGCGCCAGCUGAUAUUCUGUCACUUCUGGAGUUGAAAUGGAUAUACUGUGACCCAUGAUACGGUUCUAAGGAAAAUCUGCUGGUACUUAGUUCUAUAACCACAUGGUCCUAUGCAGUCAAGCCUUCUUAAUGCCACUUUAGAGGAUAAACAUCUAUCAGAAAUUCUUCAAUUCAGGUACCAUCUUUGAAUUGUUCUAGGCAAUUGGUUGUACAUUUUGCAAUAUCUCAAUAAUGUGCCAUAGAAUUUGGUCGACCAUGCCUUUGAUAUUUUAACGCAAGUUGCUGCUGAAACAAUUGGUCACAGUGGAGGUUAUCCGAUGGACUCCUUUUUAAAGUACUUUCAAAGAUAAAUUUGAGAAUGAGAAAACAUGCUAGGAGAUGCACUUGUUGAGAAGGCAGCAGAAAAUCUUAGACAGGGCCCGAUCAUAGUCAAAAGAAGAAUUUUGGCUUCUCUUGGGCGAGACAAGCUAACCUUUAGCUAGGAGCCUCUUCAGAGAAUCAUCGAACGUAAUAGUAUCGUUGUUUUGAAGUAUUGCUUGAGGAUUACCCUAAAGAGACUUGCAGAGCUGUUAUGCCUCAGUAUCCAGGAAGCUGAGACGCAUCUCUCCUUAAUGGUUGUUUCCAAAUCCCUGAUGGCUAAGAUAGACCGACCAAUGGGAAUUGUCAGUUUCCAAACGACAAAGGACAGCAAUGAGAUUUUGAACUCAGGGGCGACAAAUUUGGGAAAGCUGCUUGACCUUGUCGAGAAAAGUUGCCACCAAAUCCCCAAGGAAACCGUGGUUCAUAAGGCUGCUUUGAGGGCUCGAAGAUGUUUAGUUGAAUGAAUUAUCUCUCUCCCCUUGAGCCUCUCUCUCUCUCUCUCUCUCUCUCUCUCUCUCUCUCUCUCUCUCACCGAAGAAUGCUGUUUCACAUUGUGGUCUGAAGUGGGGACUGGCGAUAUUCAUCAUAGAACUCUCGCGUAGCUGUCUUAAAUUUGAUUGCAUAUUUUGCAGGGGGACCA
Syzygium oleosum is the source of this 1272-nucleotide long non-coding RNA. RefSeq lists it as uncharacterized. The record is from RefSeq and is a predicted model, not a curated record. The transcript has 6 exons. NCBI's taxonomy places the organism in Eukaryota, Viridiplantae, Streptophyta, Magnoliopsida, Myrtales, Myrtaceae.